RNAcentral lists this ribosomal RNA (527 nucleotides) under uncultured Gammaproteobacteria bacterium. RNAcentral's name for it is "bacterial SSU rRNA". It matches the Rfam family "Bacterial small subunit ribosomal RNA", at positions 8 to 524 of the family's 1533-position model. The record is from RNAcentral. Lineage: Bacteria; Pseudomonadati; Pseudomonadota; Gammaproteobacteria. RNAcentral also lists the same sequence under 1 other name.
AGAGUUUGAUCCUGGCUCAGAGUGAACGCUGGCGGCAGGCCUAACACAUGCAAGUCGAACGGCAGCACAGGGGUAGCAAUACCCUGGGUGGCGAGUGGCGGACGGGUGAGGAAUACGUCGGAAUCUGCCUAUUUGUGGGGGAUAACGUGGGGAAACUUACGCUAAUACCGCAUACGCCCCACGGGGGAAAGCGGAGGACCUUCGGGCUUCGCGCAGAUAGAUGAGCCGACGUCGGAUUAGCUAGUUGGCGGGGUAAAGGCCCACCAAGGCGACGAUCCGUAGCUGGUCUGAGAGGAUGAUCAGCCACACUGGAACUGAGACACGGCCCAGACUCCUACGGGAGGCAGCAGUGGGGAAUAUUGGACAAUGGGGGCAACCCUGAUCCAGCGACGCCGCGUGUGUGAAGAAGGCCUGCGGGUUGUAAAGCACUUUUAGUGGGGAUGAAAAGCACCGGGCUAAUACCCAGGUGUCUUGACCUAACCCAAAGAAAAAGCACCGGCUAACUCUGUGCCAGCAGCCGCGGUAAU